AUACGACUCUCGGCAACGGAUAUCUCGGCUCUCGCAUCGAUGAAGAACGUAGCGAAAUGCGAUACUUGGUGUGAAUUGCAGAAUCCCGCGAACCAUCGAGUCUUUGAACGCAAGUUGCGCCCAAGGCCUCUCGGUCGAGGGCACAUCUGCUUGGGCGUUAAACAAC
RNAcentral lists this ribosomal RNA (166 nucleotides) under Piper reticulatum. RNAcentral's name for it is "5.8S ribosomal RNA". It matches the Rfam family "5.8S ribosomal RNA". From Rfam's summary of the family: 5.8S ribosomal RNA (5.8S rRNA) is a component of the large subunit of the eukaryotic ribosome. It is transcribed by RNA polymerase I as part of the 45S precursor that also contains 18S and 28S rRNA. Lineage: Eukaryota; Viridiplantae; Streptophyta; Magnoliopsida; Piperales; Piperaceae. The record is from RNAcentral.